CGUGCACUAGUCAGUCUGGACGUAGGUCAGCAGUAGAGAAUAUUGUGCAAUGUACGGCAGUAUGACACAGAGAGCACACGCCCUCUUGGCCUGUCCAACUAAGUGCCAGCAGACGCGGUUAGACUUAGGGGCCAAGCCUUUAUGAGCAAAGGGGCGUAAAGGGUGUGUAGGCCGACUGCCCCACCCCCCCCAAGGUGGUAAAUGGAAUUUUUCUGUAGCGGUAGAAUGUGCGGAUAGAAAAUAGAACCCCAAAAGCAGAAGCAAUUUACCGCGGGGCGGGAGGGGGGGCCCCUUGGGGCGCCCCCCCNGGUNNNNGGCUGAAACACGAGGGUGUGGGGAACAAACAGGAUUAGAGACCCUGGUAGUCCACACUGUAAACGAUGGAGAAAAUGCGAAUGCAGCCCCGAAAGGCAGCAAUCUCCCGCCUGAGUAGUACGAUCGCAAGAUUAAAAUUCAAAAAAUUUGGCUGUUCACCGUUUCGAUUAGAGGAGCGUGUAGUUUAAUUCGAUAAACCGCGAGAUACCUUACCCAAACUUGAAUCCUUGAGGAUUCCAAGGAAUCCUUAUGGACCGGUAUUGCAUGGCCGUCGUCAGUUCGUGUAUGAAACCUUAAACGGACCCAACCCGAGGAUUAGAUCUUAGCAUUCUUAGAAUGCUAGCAACCUUCUUCGAAGGUUACUCGAUUAUCUAGCCGCGGAUGAAGUCAGGUCUUAUGGUCCCAAUGUUUGGGGAUAAUAUGCGCUACAUUUUCUUAUACAAUGGGAAACCUGGGAGGUGAAACCCAAAAGUGAGAGUUCGGUAGGCUAUUGGAAGAUGGCCGAAAGUUGAAUUUAAUAGUAAUCGGAAAGUAUAGCGUUCCGGUGAAAAUGGUCUAGGUGUUAGCACAAAUCGCCCGUCACCUUAACUUAGGAUGAUGGUUCGGACGCCGCCGCGCCCCCACGGGCCCCGCGUAGCCUCACUCACGCACAUGGAACC
RNAcentral lists this ribosomal RNA (974 nucleotides) under Churabana kuroshioae. RNAcentral describes it as "partial small subunit ribosomal RNA". It matches the Rfam family "Bacterial small subunit ribosomal RNA", at positions 321 to 1465 of the family's 1533-position model. The record is from RNAcentral. Lineage: Eukaryota; Metazoa; Cnidaria; Anthozoa; Zoantharia; Parazoanthidae.